RNAcentral lists this ribosomal RNA (1331 nucleotides) under Escherichia coli. RNAcentral's name for it is "partial 23S ribosomal RNA". It matches the Rfam family "Bacterial large subunit ribosomal RNA", at positions 1 to 1367 of the family's 2925-position model. Lineage: Bacteria; Pseudomonadati; Pseudomonadota; Gammaproteobacteria; Enterobacterales; Enterobacteriaceae. The record is from RNAcentral.
UUGUGAGGUUAAGCGACUAAGCGUACACGGUGGAUGCCCUGGCAGUCAGAGGCGAUGAAGGACGUGCUAAUCUGCGAUAAGCGUCGGUGAGGUGAUAUGAACCGUUAUAACCGGCGAUUUCCGAAUGGGGAAACCCAGUGUGUUUCGACACACUAUCAUUAACUGAAUCCAUAGGUUAAUGAGGCGAACCGGGGGAACUGAAACAUCUAAGUACCCCGAGGAAAAGAAAUCAACCGAGAUUCCCCCAGUAGCGGCGAGCGAACGGGGAGGAGCCCAGAGCCUGAAUCAGUGUGUGUGUUAGUGGAAGCGUCUGGAAAGGCGCGCGAUACAGGGUGACAGCCCCGUACACAAAAAUGCACAUAUUGUGAGCUCGAUGAGUAGGGCGGGACACGUGGUAUCCUGUCUGAAUAUGGGGGGACCAUCCUCCAAGGCUAAAUACUCCUGACUGACCGAUAGUGAACCAGUACCGUGAGGGAAAGGCGAAAAGAACCCCGGCGAGGGGAGUGAAAAAGAACCUGAAACCGUGUACGUACAAGCAGUGGGAGCCUCUUUAUGGGGUGACUGCGUACCUUUUGUAUAAUGGGUCAGCGACUUAUAUUCUGUAGCAAGGUUAACCGAAUAGGGGAGCCGAAGGGAAACCGAGUCUUAACUGGGCGUUAAGUUGCAGGGUAUAGACCCGAAACCCGGUGAUCUAGCCAUGGGCAGGUUGAAGGUUGGGUAACACUAACUGGAGGACCGAACCGACUAAUGUUGAAAAAUUAGCGGAUGACUUGUGGCUGGGGGUGAAAGGCCAAUCAAACCGGGAGAUAGCUGGUUCUCCCCGAAAGCUAUUUAGGUAGCGCCUCGUGAAUUCAUCUCCGGGGGUAGAGCACUGUUUCGGCAAGGGGGUCAUCCCGACUUACCAACCCGAUGCAAACUGCGAAUACCGGAGAAUGUUAUCACGGGAGACACACGGCGGGUGCUAACGUCCGUCGUGAAGAGGGAAACAACCCAGACCGCCAGCUAAGGUCCCAAAGUCAUGGUUAAGUGGGAAACGAUGUGGGAAGGCCCAGACAGCCAGGAUGUUGGCUUAGAAGCAGCCAUCAUUUAAAGAAAGCGUAAUAGCUCACUGGUCGAGUCGGCCUGCGCGGAAGAUGUAACGGGGCUAAACCAUGCACCGAAGCUGCGGCAGCGACACUAUGUGUUGUUGGGUAGGGGAGCGUUCUGUAAGCCUGUGAAGGUGGCCUGUGAGGGUUGCUGGAGGUAUCAGAAGUGCGAAUGCUGACAUAAGUAACGAUAAAGCGGGUGAAAAGCCCGCUCGCCGGAAGACCAAGGGUUCCUGUCCAACGUUA